CGGACAACUGAGAUUGAAGACCGAUUAAACAAGUUUGCGGUUAUCCCCUAAUCCCUCCCUACUGGUAAUUUUAGAAAAGAAAACUCUGCUCCCUUGUAUUGGUAAUGAAACCCUAAAAUUGUGCACAGUAGCUCCUCGACCAAAUGAAGAACGAUGAAAACCCUAAAAGAGAGGAAAUACACUGCAACUUUGUGAUAGACAGAGAGGUUUCCUUUCCUCUCAUCGCUCCUCGCCAUUUGAGAUUGCCACAGAGAUCAGUUCCUGGACGACCUUGAUCUGAUCCUUCACAGACUCUCCGCUCAGCUAAUCGUUGGCCGUCAAGCUGCCCGUGCUCUGUUCUCCUGAUUGCCAUCACGAGAGUUGAGAGGAUUUUGGGGGCAACAAUUUGAAGGAGACAAACAACAUCAAUCCAAGAUGACAAGCACAAGCUAGGACUGCAUAUGAAUUCCCAAGUUGGUUCUUAAAUUACGUAAGUAUAAAUAUGUUGGUUCAAACAUAGAAUAUAUGUAAUGUCCCGCCCAUUUCCAUCCACGAAAUUAACAAAUACUUAAUUUCAAUGAAAGGUUCAAGAUCCAAAUCAUCAGAUAACCGAUCCUCAUUUGUUGUCCUUGGCUUUGGAAAAUAUACUUUGUGCUUGGGUUCAAGUUUCAAGCAGAUGAGGGAACUGCUAAUAAGAAGACCUUUUAUAAUAGUGGUGUUUGAGUUAAGGGGAUGUCGGCGAAGGAGUAGGUGAGAGUGACAAUUAUGGGAUAAUGAAGGCGGUUGUUGAAUUACAGUACCUUCUCUAGCCUAUGCAUCAAGUGGUUUUAUUUAUGUGCGAAUGGUUCGAUCCUGGAUGAGGCACCCGUAGAGUUCAUCUUGAGUAUAGGAUUGUUGAAGUAAAUCAUGAGGAUAGGUUAUGCAAUUACAAUUUUUGGCAAGUUUACUAUGUGCCAUAUCUCGGGAAUAUCAAAGCCAAAAUAGAUUGGUGGACUAUUAUGUACAUGAAAGCAACUGACCGAGUAAAGUACCCUAUUCACUAGAGCUGGCAUUUCAAAAUGAUGAGCCAUCAAGGGUUCGUGGGAUAACUUCCGGUGAUACCGAGGUUCCAUUGAUUGAUGAGUACGGUGAUUUUCAAAUUUUGGAUGUUUCUAGCAUAACGAGAGGAAAUGGAGCCAAUACUAGCUCUAGCAAUGAUCACUUAGCAAUGAAGUGUGACGAUGAAAAUGAAAAUGAUGAAUAUGAAGAUGCUGAAGGAGGCGAUAUUGGUGAAUUUGAACCAGACGAACGAGAAAAUGAGAGUGCCGAUGAGAUUUAUUAGGAAUGAAUCAUUAACUCUGUAAUUAACUUUUUUCCAUGUGAUGAGUACGGUGAUUUUCAAAUUUUGGAUGUUUCUAGCAUAACGAGAGGAAAUGGAGCCAAUACUAGCUCUAGCAAUGAUCACUUAGCAAUGAAGUGUGACGAUGAAAAUGAAAAUGAUGAAUAUGAAGAUGCUGAAGGAGGCGAUAUUGGUGUAUUUGAACCCGACGAACGAGAAAAUGAGAGUGCCGAUGAGAUUUAUUAGGAAUGAAUCAUUAACUCUGUAAUUAACUUUUUUCCAUGUGCUGGGAGUAUUUUGGUUAUUUUUUUAAUGCAACGAAUUCUAGUUUUGUUUAUAUUAUUUGUUUUUGUUCCGUUUAUGCAAUAAAUUCUGGUUACUUA
Molecule: non-coding RNA, 1680 nt
Organism: Punica granatum (pomegranate)
Lineage: Eukaryota; Viridiplantae; Streptophyta; Magnoliopsida; Myrtales; Lythraceae
Source: RefSeq, a predicted model, not a curated record